CUACGGGCCGCUCCAGUGGGGAAUAUUGCACAAUGGGGGAAACCCUGAUGCAGCAACGCCGCGUGGAGGAUGACGCAUUUCGGUGUGUAAACUCCUUUUAUAUAGGAAGAUAAUGACGGUACUAUAUGAAUAAGCACCGGCUAACUCCGUGCCAGCAGCCGCGGUAAUACGGAGGGUGCAAGCGUUACUCGGAAUCACUGGGCGUAAAGCGCGCGCAGGCGGCCCCUUAAGUUGGAUGUGAAAGCCUACGGCUUAACCGUAGAACUGCAUCCAGAACUGAGGGGCUAGAGUCUGGGAGGGGAAGAUGGAAUUAGUUGUGUAGGGGUAAAAUCCGUAGAGAUAACUAGGAAUACCAAAAGCGAAGGCGAUCUUCUGGAACAGUACUGACGCUGAGGCGCGAAAGCGUGGGGAGCAAACAGGAUUAGAUACCCGAGUAGUC
This 439-nucleotide ribosomal RNA is filed under the name uncultured bacterium. Its description in RNAcentral is "partial 16S ribosomal RNA". It matches the Rfam family "Bacterial small subunit ribosomal RNA", at positions 339 to 795 of the family's 1533-position model. The record is from RNAcentral.